Molecule: long non-coding RNA, 362 nt
Organism: Brassica napus (rape)
Lineage: Eukaryota; Viridiplantae; Streptophyta; Magnoliopsida; Brassicales; Brassicaceae
Exons: 2
Source: RefSeq, a predicted model, not a curated record
CUUGGAAGAAGCUUGAUCAACCAAGACACACUUGCCACAAUUCAAGCCAUCUCAGCUCCAAGAUAGACAUCAAAUGAGCAAGUAACAUAUGUGUGCUCUUUUUCCCUAUCUUUGGUUUUGUCCCACUGGGUUUUCCAAAGAUAGGUUUUUAAUGAGGCCAUAUGUUGCUUUCCUAUCACUCAUUUGAUGAUCUCAGUUCAAGACUUUAUUUUAAUUAUUUAUCUUUGAUAACAUGAAGCAGAAUUGGGCUCCUAGACUUGAGAAUUAGGCUGCUAGACUUGAGAAUUAAGCUGCCAGACUUGAGAACCCUUAUAAGGUUUUAUAAGGUUUUUAUAAGGUUUUAUAAGGUUUAUUUUUAAGGC